UCGGUGUAGGAUGAGACUAUAUAGUAUCAGCUAGUUGGUAAGGUAAUGGCUUACCAAGGCUAUGACGCUUAACUGGUCUGAGAGGAUGAUCAGUCACACUGGAACUGAGACACGGUCCAGACUCCUACGGGAGGCAGCAGUAGGGAAUAUUGCGCAAUGGGGGAAACCCUGACGCAGCAACGCCGCGUGGAGGAUGACACUUUUCGGAGCGUAAACUCCUUUUCUUAGGGAAGAAUUCUGACGGUACCUAAGGAAUAAGCACCGGCUAACUCCGUGCCAGCAGCCGCGGUAAUACGGAGGGUGCAAGCGUUACUCGGAAUCACUGGGCGUAAAGGGCGCGUAGGCGGAUUAUCAAGUCUCUUGUGAAAUCUAAUGGCUUAACCAUUAAACUGCUUGGGAAACUGAUAGUCUAGAGUGAGGGAGAGGCAGAUGGAAUUGGUGGUGUAGGGGUAAAAUCCGUAGAUAUCACCAAGAAUACCCAUUG
Molecule: ribosomal RNA, 484 nt
Filed under: Campylobacter jejuni
Lineage: Bacteria; Pseudomonadati; Campylobacterota; Epsilonproteobacteria; Campylobacterales; Campylobacteraceae
Description: bacterial SSU rRNA
Rfam family: Bacterial small subunit ribosomal RNA
Source: RNAcentral